RNAcentral lists this non-coding RNA (26 nucleotides) under Cricetulus griseus (Chinese hamster). The record is from RNAcentral. Lineage: Eukaryota; Metazoa; Chordata; Mammalia; Rodentia; Cricetidae.
CAUCUUCGCCAACCUCUUUCCCGCAG